GUCCUGCUGCGCAUGUAAAGUCACCUCUCCUCUGUCCCUGAGCAGAUGUCAUUUCGUAGGGAGAUUUUCUUGUGCCUUUAGCAGGUGAGAAGCAUAGUCAGUACCGUCUCCGCCCUCCUCAGAACACUCAUAGGCUCUGGCAUCGCCUGCUAGCAAGCUUUUAUGUGUCAGUGGACACAGAAAUCUUGUUUCCUAUGGAAACGAGUCUCACUUUGGAGAACUGUUGCUGAUGACAUCAUCCAUUAUCUUGUGCUUGCUCUGCUCAGGAUGGAUCUUCAGAUCGGCUUCGGGAGGUCUCCCACGAGAGCCGAGCUUCUGCUUUUCCAACAAGAUCCUGAGAGACGCCCACCCCACUGCUCCAUCCACGAGUCAGACUUCGAGUGGCAAGAUUACUUCUGCUUCCCUGAAAUACCUCCCACCGCAUUCGGACACUCUUGGUUUGUAUGAGUGAAAUGAGGUGUCUUCCCUGUAAGAUCAUUCUCAGCUCAAGACUGACCGUCCUAGUGCUUCUUGUCUCUUCCCUGGCUAACAGCGAGGAAGGGCAUGUUCCAAUGCACCUACUCCCA
RNAcentral lists this long non-coding RNA (566 nucleotides) under Fukomys damarensis (Damara mole-rat). Its description in RNAcentral is "lncRNA (ENSFDAG00000031024.1)". Lineage: Eukaryota; Metazoa; Chordata; Mammalia; Rodentia; Bathyergidae. The record is from RNAcentral.